Molecule: ribosomal RNA, 149 nt
Filed under: uncultured Thalassiosira
Lineage: Eukaryota; Bacillariophyta; Thalassiosirophyceae; Thalassiosirales; Thalassiosiraceae
Description: partial Eukaryotic large subunit ribosomal RNA
Rfam family: Eukaryotic large subunit ribosomal RNA
Source: RNAcentral
GUAAAUUCCAUCUAAAGCUAAAUACUGGCGAGAGACCGAUAGCGAACAAGUACCGUGAGGGAAAGAUGAAAAGCACUUUGGAAAGAGAGUCAAACAGUACGUGAAAUUGUUGAAAGGGAAACGAUUGAAGUCAGUCGUGCCUGCCUAGA